Non-coding RNA from Phoenix dactylifera (date palm), 3317 nucleotides. Lineage: Eukaryota; Viridiplantae; Streptophyta; Magnoliopsida; Arecales; Arecaceae. The record is from RefSeq and is a predicted model, not a curated record.
AAUCACACUUAAAAAUGGGAGUUUGAUGCGCAUAUUUUAAUCCGCCAACGGUGUUUGCGCGUGGGAUUGCUUCACGGCUCCGGCUGGAAGACCCAAGCGCAUGAUCCGAGAAAAGAGGGCUCCAUCCCCGCCCCACUCCUCUCUCCGGUCUCCACCCGUUUGGCCCGGAUAGAACCGGUUCCCACUUCCCCUUCUGGUUUUACCCCUUCAAGGCUUCGGUAACCACCACACACCAAAAACUGCCCAUUUUACUUGAUACCUUUCUUCUCCCACCCUCCUACUCCACGGCUAUUGCUAUCACAUUUCUUUCUCCCCCCAGAAAUAAAUCCUCUCCAGGAUCAAAGCUUAUGACCUUGAUGCAGAGCCUAUGAUGAGGGCAAGUUUCAUAUGAUUUCUGUGACCCGAGAUUCUUGAUGCUGGAUCCACUGUCUUCACAGAAUGUCCUUAGCUGCUAUGUGGUCGGGAAACUUUCAUCAAAUAAGGAACAGUCUUGGGUGCAAUUGUUGUUUUAGGUUGUUCAGGCUUCAUACUGAAUUUAUUCCUGGAAAGGUGCUUGAUGCUGGAAGAUGCAACCCACGAUCUUUCACGACAAGAUCAGAAGGGAGGAAUUGGAAAUCACAGAGCAGCAAAUCAAGCAGCAUCAAUCUGAAACUUCAUGAUGGAACUGUCGGAUCAUCAACAAAUAUUAAUACAAACCAAUCACAGCUUCAUGAAUUUAAAGCCAUUCAGUGUUAUGAUCUCCAAGAAAAGAUUGCUAACCAAAAAGUCAUCAUCGACCGGUCUGCAACUAUUCUUGUGUUCGAUAUUGAGACUAGUGGAUUCAGUCGCAGGAAUGAAAGAAUUAUUGAGUUUGCACUUCGUGAUCUCAUAGGGGGCAAGAAUAGUACAUUCCAAACCCUUGUAAAUCCUGAAAAAGAUGUACUGAAUGCAUAUGUUCAUGGCAUUAGCACGUGCAUGGUCAACAGGCCUGAUGUCCCAAGGUUUAAGGAACUGGUUCCAAUCCUACUCCAAUAUGUUAGGAGCCGCCAAAUGGCUGGCAAACCAGUUCUAUGGGUUGCUCACAAUGGGCGCCGGUUUGAUGUACCUUUCAUUAUUGAGGAAUUUCAUCGUUGUUCUGAGGAAGUUCCUGCAGAUUGGCUGUUCGUAGACACACUUCCUCUUGCACGCCAAUUAGUCAAGCCGGAUGGAUCAAGACUUACCUCCUCGUCAUUGAAGGCACUACGUGAGCACUACGACAUCCCUUUAGUUGGGCCUGCACACAGGGCAAUGCAGGAUGUGACAACAUUAUGCUAUGUACUCCAGAGAAUUACUUUCGAUCUGAAGCUGACUGUUCCAGAGCUAAUAGAUAGAGCUUUCCGGGCUUCGGACAUUAUCAAGGUCCCUCCUCCCUGACAAGUGCUGCUGCAGUUCUCUAACUUAAAAUUAAGUGUAAAAGCCAAAAAUCUCAUUCAUCUCUCAAGUGAUCAUUAAGCAUUGCUGUAUCACAGUGUUCAUUCUUUUCGGCAUACUAUUUAACUUAUAUAUUGGACUGUAAACUCUGAAUAAAGUUCAGUAAUCUACCAUCUGCUCUGAAGUUUUCAACUAAAUGGAGUGUUCUAAACCUUUGUAAUUGGGAAUACCAGAGUGUUAGUUGCUGAGCGAGUUCUGACAGGAUAGGCACUGGAAUUUCCCUUUCCAUUUUUGGUUUUUAACCUGAAAGAUAAAAAAAAGCUAAAAAUUAACUGAGUGCUUUCGUUGAGAAUCGAACUCAAGACCUCCCGCUUACUAAACGGGUGCUCUAACCAACUGAGCUACGAAAGCACGACGCGAAUCAUUGGUAGUCUUCUUGUGCAUUUUGCAACCCAGAUCUCUUCCCUCCAUUUCCAACCGCUCGUGUUGCCGCUCGCGGCGAUCUCCAAGUCGCAGGCGCUCCACCGCCUCGAAGGUAAGCUCCUUCCGACCCAGCUCCCAUGGCGAUCGAUUUGAAUUCCUCCUCCGAUACUAGGGUUUUCUCACGAUCUACUAGUUCAUCUCCGAUCAUGUUACUGUUUUCCCCAAAUUAUUGGGAUCAAAAGCGAUUUGGCCGCAAAAAUUCAAGCCGGAACUCCGAGAAAGCCCAAUCUCGGUUCUUGAAUUCAUCACUGUUGUUUCAAUUUUCUUCUUAUUCCGAUGAAAUUCGUGAAGCAACGAGAGUUCGUAGGAUUCGUGGCUGUAGAAAUGGAGGGAGAGAUCAACCCGUCGGCAUCCCAGAACUCGGUGGAGGCGACGCCCAGCUCGUGCUGCUCCUUCGACGACGAUGACGGAUCGACUCCGGAGUUGGCCGGACGGAUCCCCGGCCACUGAUUCGAGAUGCAGAAGCACCAGAUCAUCCGGGAGCUCCAGCAGAUGGUCAACUGCUACAACGACUACUUCCGCCGCCUUCAGGCCGCCCUCUCCGACCUCGACCUCCUCCGCGCCGACAAUCUCCAGCGAACCGCCGACCACCUCCACCUCACCUUCCUCCUCGAGGAGCUGGAGGCCUCCGCCGCCGCUGCCACGGCCGGCCGUGAAUCCGCGACUCCGGAGGUACAGGGGAAGCAAAAGAUUGUCGGAGCAAACGGUGCGAAGGACGUUCCCAAUCCGGAUCCGGAGCCGGCACCACUGGGGGGAUCGGACGGCGGAGGCUGAAGGGCGCGACACGUGGCGGCCUGCCGAAGAGCAUCUCGAUCCGGUCACGCGGGUUCUUGGCGGUGAAGCAACCGCUGGCGGGCGAGGGCGGUGAGGCGACGCGACCCCACCGCCUCCGCCUCCGCCUCCUGUCGUCUCCGGUGCAAAAGGGGGAGGAGUGGGGCGGGGAAGUGGAGGUCUAUAGCCAGGGGAUGGCGAAGACGGAGCUGUGCAACAAGUGGGGGAAGAAGGGAUGGUGCACGUACGGGGAGCGGUGCUAGUUCGCGCACGGGAUCCAGGAACUGAGGCCGGUGAUCCGGCACCCUCGCCACAAGACCCAGCUCUGCCGCAUGCUCGGCUCCGGCGUUGACUGCCCUUACGGCCACCGCUGCCACUUCCGCCACGCCCUCCCCAGGUCCUUGUAGCCCCCAUCCCGACUUUCCUAAAAGAACAAAUUUGAUUGAUGCGGGCUGGAUGAAUAGGAGAAAGAGGCUUUGUUAUUAUAGGUUUGGAUUCUACGGUGAUUGUGGUUGAUGGCUAGCUGCCAAAUUUUCUGGCACCUCGGCCCCGGGGGCUAAGUUUAGGGCGGUAUAGACCGGUCUAAAUUAUGCUUGGCGUGUGUUGCUUGAUGGAGAUUUGGCUACUGCUAUUGGAUAGGUUCAAUGGAUUGUUGGCGGUAUGGAUGUGUAUCA